UAAGCAGACCGCCUUAUCGCUCUGAAUUAUUUUGGAGAGGAAAGUCCGGACACCACAGGGCAGCAUAGUGGGUAACACCCAUCACCUCCUUUUGGGAGGGAGGACAAGUGCAACAGAAAGAAUGUACAGGUAAUGCUGUAGUGAAAUCAGGUAAACUCUAUGCGGUGCAAUGCCAUGUAUACCGGCUGUUAAGGAUCGCCCGUCCGUUGCCGGAGGGUAGGCAGCUAAAGGUCUUUGGUAACAAAGGCUUCAGAUAAAUGAUAAGGGCUCUGGUCUUUCGGGAUCAGAGAACAGAAUCCGGCUUACAGGUCUGCUUUUUAU
Molecule: RNase P RNA, 321 nt
Filed under: Salinimicrobium catena
Lineage: Bacteria; Pseudomonadati; Bacteroidota; Flavobacteriia; Flavobacteriales; Flavobacteriaceae
Description: Bacterial RNase P class A
Rfam family: Bacterial RNase P class A
About the family: Ribonuclease P (RNase P) is a ubiquitous endoribonuclease, found in archaea, bacteria and eukarya as well as chloroplasts and mitochondria. Its best characterised activity is the generation of mature 5'-ends of tRNAs by cleaving the 5'-leader elements of precursor-tRNAs.
Source: Rfam by way of RNAcentral